CCUACGGCGGCAGCAGUGGGGAAUAUUGGACAAUGGGCGAAAGCCUGAUCCAGCCAUGCCGCGUGUGUGAAGAAGGCCUUCGGGUUGUAAAGCACUUUCAGUGGGGAAGAAAGCCUUGGGGCUAAUACCCUCGAGGAAGGACAUCACCCACAGAAGAAGCACCGGCUAACUCCGUGCCAGCAGCCGCGGUAAUACGGAGGGUGCGAGCGUUAAUCGGAAUUACUGGGCGUAAAGCGCGCGUAGGCGGUCUGAUAAGCCGGUUGUGAAAGCCCCGGGCUCAACCUGGGAACGGCAUCCGGAACUGUCAGGCUAGAGUGCAGGAGAGGAAGGUAGAAUUCCCGGUGUAGCGGUGAAAUGCGUAGAGAUCGGGAGGAAUACCAGUGGCGAAGGCGGCCUUCUGGACUGACACUGACGCUGAGGUGCGAAAGCGUGGGUAGCAAACAGGAUUAGAUACCCGGGUAGUC
Molecule: ribosomal RNA, 464 nt
Filed under: Vreelandella stevensii
Lineage: Bacteria; Pseudomonadati; Pseudomonadota; Gammaproteobacteria; Oceanospirillales; Halomonadaceae
Description: partial 16S ribosomal RNA
Rfam family: Bacterial small subunit ribosomal RNA
Source: RNAcentral